GUGAACACCAGCCCAUCAGUGAGAGAGUUUCUCCAUCUCUGGCCUGCGCUGCACAUAACAUCACAGGUGUUUGCAGAUUUCCAGCGUAUCACUAAUGAGAACUUGCCCCACAAAUUCUGCGCACAACUGGACCGCCACUUGCCUUGUUUAAUGACCAUUUUUCAGCAAAAAAGCAUCAAAGAUAGGCAAGACGGCAGAGGCACUGGCAAAGGUUUUAAAAGUCCAUGACGAGCAGAUAUACCCAGUGAGUCUAUAGAGAGGGCUACAGUGGGCUACAUGUCUUCCUGCUACGGAGACUGCAGAUGCUAAAGACACAACAGACACAACUGAGAAUGAUAUACCGGAGUUGCCAACAUGGAUCCUGUACUCCACCUCAACCAAGAACAUGCAGAUUAUUGUGGGUCCAACACCCUUGUGGAGCAGGAGGAGGACCAAGAGGAUGAGAAUGAAGAGGACAUUUUGAUACAAUGAUUUUACCAAUUAAGUCUUCUUACUAUUCUGUUUUGUAUAUGUAUGAUCUGCCUGCACCUUCUUCGGCUAUUGUAUGGCACAUCUACCUUUAUCAUAGUCUAAUAACACAGUGUAGUGUCUUGUGUGUUAUCUGCUCAAAUUAUUCUGUGUUUACCCUCGACACUGUGUUUACUGUUCUUGUUCCACAGAGGUCUUGUAUUUAAAAUUAGGCCGGAACCUCAUUGGUUUGAUAGUUUCACCAUACCCAUCCAAAUUUAGUAUGGAGCUGAUGUAAGCAUAGCAAAGGGGACAAAAACACUUACACAUAAUUACACACACACUUGCACACACAUACACACAAUUAGGAGUUCAUAAAUCAUCCGAGUCUAUUUCAUAAACAUUAGGGCAUUGUUCGAUUGUGUCAGCGGUCCCCUUAAAACCCACCACACUGCACAGAUUGUCCGUUUUUUAUUUAUUUAUCACUAUUAUCACCUUUUAACUCUCUGGGGUUUCUCUAACAAAACAACAGGGCACCACAUUUACCAGACCAUCACAAACACAGUUUACCUGUUUCAGCUGAGCUUUCAGGCUUGAGCUGCCCAACGCUUUAAUUAGUUUCACUGUUACCUCAAUUUCUUUCUCUGCUGUAACUUGCUAUGUUGCAAUUGUUACAACUGUUUUAUGGGACGUCACAACUCGAUUGCAUGUCUGCGAAAUGUAGUAACUCACUCAAAACAUUUAAUUCAUGCUUUAAAAUCUAGUUAUUGUGUCAGUAAAAUUGCCAAU
Long non-coding RNA from Myxocyprinus asiaticus (Chinese sucker), 1236 nucleotides. RefSeq lists it as uncharacterized. The record is from RefSeq and is a predicted model, not a curated record. Lineage: Eukaryota; Metazoa; Chordata; Actinopteri; Cypriniformes; Catostomidae. The transcript has 3 exons.